GGCUCAGGACGAACGCUGGCGGCGUGCCUAAUACAUGCAAGUCGAACGGUCUUUCUAUGGAAGCUUGCUUCCACUGAGAAGAUAGUGGCGAACGGGUGAGUAACACGUGGGUAACCUGCCCAUAAGAGGGGGAUAACAUCCGGAAAACGGGUGCUAAUACCGCAUAGUUUUCUUGAUCGCAUGAUCGGGAAAGGAAAGACGACCUUUGUGCUGUCGCUUAUGGAUGGACCCGCGGCGUAUUAGUUAGUUGGUGAGGUAACGGCUCACCAAGACGAUGAUACGUAGCCGACCUGAGAGGGUGAUCGGCCACAUUGGGACUGAGACACGGCCCAAACUCCUACGGGAGGCAGCAGUAGGGAAUCUUCCGCAAUGGACGAAAGUCUGACGGAGCAACGCCGCGUGAGUGAAGAAAAGGUUUUCGGAUCGUAAAACUCUGUUGUCAGAGAAGAACAAGUUGGAGAGUAACUGCUCCAGCCUUGACGGUAUCUGACCAGAAAGCCACGGCUAACUACGUGCCAGCCGCCGC
RNAcentral lists this ribosomal RNA (526 nucleotides) under uncultured bacterium. RNAcentral's name for it is "bacterial SSU rRNA". It matches the Rfam family "Bacterial small subunit ribosomal RNA", at positions 21 to 518 of the family's 1533-position model. The record is from RNAcentral.